AAGAGCCAAGAAACCCUUAUAGAGUUUUUAGGAUGAACAAGACAAUCAAGUGUGGGAAGUGCCAGAAAGAAGGACAUAAUGCAAGAGGGUACAAGGCAAGCAUCAUUGGUGAAACUCCAUGGUAGAGAAGAGAUAGACUUGCUAAACCAAAAGCUGUAAGUAUUUCCAUGCUUUGAACUAUAUUCAUUUCCUCAUAUAUUUCAUGUGUAUGUAACUUGUACACUCCUUUUUGUAGGCAUAAGGCAGUAAAUCUACAAAAACAAAUUAGACUACAACACCUCAAAUUGCAUCUUAGCCACCAAGUACUAUAUCUCAGCCUGCAUACAAAGCUUUUGGUCAAACUGCAUCUCAACCUACACCAAACAAUAGAUCUGAGGCAGCAACUCAACCUCCAACUACAUCUAGGGCCAACUGGUUCUCUUCAUCCUCACAACUAAGCUUUCAUACCCCUAGAGAGAUCCAAGUGCACUGUGAGCACUAGUGGUGCACCAAGUCAAGGAAGUGGUGGUGGUGCUGUUAGGGGGUUUAAAGGCAGAAAGUUUGGUGUAUCAAGGCCAACAAAGCUUCAACCAGUUGGUGGAAAGGGCAAGAAGGCUGCUGGCAAGGGCACCAAAAGCAAUAAAUGAAGAUGGAAGAUGUUAAAGUUUCAACCACUUUUUUUGUUAUAGUUCUCACGCUUAAUGUAACUAGUAUUUGCUUAAGCAUGGUCAAGUGUCAAAAACAAUAUUGGCAAUUUCGGUUGGAAGAUGUGUAUGUCUGAUGUGUGGUGGACUAGUAGUUGGGUUUUGGUAGUAAAUCUGUCUGCAUGUGACAUAAAGUCACAAUAAUUGUCUUCACUUUUACUAAUGUUAAUGUGCAUUGACACAGGAUAAAGUA
This is a long non-coding RNA of Quercus robur (English oak), 876 nucleotides long. RefSeq lists it as uncharacterized. Lineage: Eukaryota; Viridiplantae; Streptophyta; Magnoliopsida; Fagales; Fagaceae. The record is from RefSeq and is a predicted model, not a curated record. The transcript is spliced from 2 exons.